GACCGCGUGGGGGAGCGGGAUCCCGCCGGUCCGAGCAGACGGCGGUGGAGGCGCGGCUCGUUGGCGGUUGUGAAGCCAUGGGGAACAUCAUGGGAAGGAAAAAGGUGGUGGCAUGGGAAGGAAGACGACGACGGUGUGGCGAGGAGCAAGCGGGGCCGGGCCGAGCCGAGGGAUCUGGCGCGGUGGGGGAGGCUUGGAUUGCGGCGACCGCCGUGGAUGGAAGGGUGCGGUGGGGAGGCGUGGAUUGCGGCUCUAGCGCGGUGGGGGGAGCAAUUGAGAGCGGCUGUGGCGUGGUGGGAGCACAUCCGUGCGAUGAGGAGUGGAGGGAGAGGAUUGUGCGGCAGAACAUGGUGCACGAUUGUGAAG
RNAcentral lists this unclassified non-coding RNA (366 nucleotides) under Zea mays. RNAcentral's name for it is "misc RNA Zm00001eb292570". The record is from RNAcentral. Lineage: Eukaryota; Viridiplantae; Streptophyta; Magnoliopsida; Poales; Poaceae.